CAGUAGCCGCGGUAACACGAAGGGUGCAAGCGUUAAUCGGAAUUACUGGGCGUGAAGCGUGCGUAGGCGGUUUGUUAAGUCUGUUGUGAAAUCCCCGGGCUCAACCUGGGAAUGGCAAUGGAUACUGGCAAGCUAGAGUGUGUCAGAGGAUGGUGGAAUUCCCGGUGUAGCGGUGAAAUGCGUAGAGAUCGGGAGGAACAUCAGUGGCGAAGGCGGCCAUCUGGGACAACACUGACGCUGAGGCACGAAAGCGUGGGGAGCAAACAGGAUUAGAUACCCCCGUAGUCCCUGUCUCUUAUAC
This 301-nucleotide ribosomal RNA is filed under the name uncultured bacterium. Its description in RNAcentral is "partial 16S ribosomal RNA". It matches the Rfam family "Bacterial small subunit ribosomal RNA", at positions 509 to 807 of the family's 1533-position model. The record is from RNAcentral.